UACGUAGGGUGCGAGCGUUGUCCGGAAUUAUUGGGCGUAAAGAGCUCGUAGGCGGCUUAGUAAGUCGGAUGUGAAAACUCGGGGCUCAACCCCGAGACGCCAUCCGAUACUGCUGUGGCUUGAGUCUGGUAGGGGAACACGGAAUUCCUGGUGUAGCGGUGAAAUGCGCAGAUAUCAGGAGGAACACCGAUGGCGAAGGCAGUGUUCUGGGCCAGUACUGACGCUGAGGAGCGAAAGCGUGGGGAGCAAACAGG
RNAcentral lists this ribosomal RNA (254 nucleotides) under uncultured bacterium. Its description in RNAcentral is "partial 16S ribosomal RNA". It matches the Rfam family "Bacterial small subunit ribosomal RNA", at positions 524 to 776 of the family's 1533-position model. The record is from RNAcentral.